RNAcentral lists this long non-coding RNA (1284 nucleotides) under Oncorhynchus kisutch (coho salmon). RNAcentral's name for it is "lncRNA (ENSOKIG00005017291.1)". The record is from RNAcentral. Lineage: Eukaryota; Metazoa; Chordata; Actinopteri; Salmoniformes; Salmonidae.
AUGUAUCUCUAUGACAUGAAACUGAUGUGCUCUGUUUUUCCUUCCUCGGCCACCCAGCACCUGGAGAGACUGGCUGAGGUCAUGGGGACGGCUUGUCUCCUGUCGGGGAAGAAAGACCUCACUGACCAUUUCUUGAUUGCCGUCAGUAAACUGGCUGUGGACCCCGCACAGGAAGUCAGGCAUCAUGGUCGCAAUAUCUUGAGAAACGUGGCCACCAAUGGCGACUUUGCUAAAAUGUGGGACAAAUUCGCUCUGAGGAAAGAGCGAGAAUUAACCUCAAAGAAAGGUACAUUCUCUCUGGAUGAUUAAAAGUGUGACAAAUGAGCUGAUAUGAUUACAGAAAUCCAAUCCCACCUUGCACAGACAUUAUUUAAAUUUGGAACUCAACCAAAAUGUGAAAUCAACCAAAAAUGUUGGUUAAAAGUUUGGUGAAAAAAAUCGAAUUGUGUUUUCCACAUUGAUUCACCGUCAUCACAGAUUUUUUUGUGGUUGAAAUGAGGUGGAAACAAUGUUUAUUCAACCAGUUUUGGCCCAUUGGGAUGAAUUGAAUAUACUGUAAAAUUAUAUCUUUCUGUCUUUUCUCUUUUUCAACAGGGAUAUCUGAAUAAUCCCCAACUUGAGUAUUAUCCCCUCCAGUCCCCAAACUCCAAUACUUUCGCUCAUUCUAAGAAAUUUGACACUAUAAUCCAAACCCCCAUGUAAAUGCAUCUUUAAACUGCAUUGACUCCUUGUCCAAGUCCUGAAUCCACUAUAAGGCAAUACGAACCACAUUCAAAGCAAUAAAUUACCUUUCCUCGAAGCGCCUAUCUGAUCUACCAGCUCAAUAGUGGUCUACUGAAACCAUACACACCAUCUCAGGGGGUGCUCAGAUCAUCAACCACUGACCUCCACACCAUCCUCAAAACCAGCAGUCCUCUUUUGGAGGCAGAUUGGUCAGUACUCCUGUAUGGCACCAACAUUGUGGAUUUUCAUCCAAUACUUCUGGACUAUAAGAACAUUCUUUGGACAAUAAAAUGAGGUCAAAUGGAAGCUGGCUACAGUCUCAGUUUUAUCCUCCAAGGCAGUGUGAGGAUGUGUAACAACAAUAUCUGGGGUUUAACUUGAUGAUCAGGGCCAGAUUACCGAAUGGGCACGCAGGGCACCUGCCCUGUGGGCCCCGACCUCCAGGGGAAAUCAUCAUAACAUCCAAAACUAAAAGUAUUGUGGAUGUAUAGCUCGUUUCAUAGUUUGUAGCCAUGUUUUAUAUACAUUUGUGCAUAUUUUGUGGAAAUUCCUGAGCAUUUA